RNA transcript from Eleginops maclovinus (Patagonian blennie), 1274 nucleotides. It is a transcript of the gene named high mobility group box 2b, with no coding region annotated. NCBI's taxonomy places the organism in Eukaryota, Metazoa, Chordata, Actinopteri, Perciformes, Eleginopidae. The transcript is spliced from 5 exons. The record is from RefSeq and is a predicted model, not a curated record.
CUGAAUAGGAACAACCAACGGGGGCGUUGCUGGGGGGCGUGUCCGUGCGCGAGCUCGACCCAGUUUGAAAGAGAAGCAGAUCUGCAGUCGCUGCUUCAACUCAACAACACCAACACCUGAGAACCAGAGAGAACCAGAGACCAUCAGCCUGCAGCUCCUCAGAGCCGCCAGUAUGAUGCGCAAAGAUGUAAACAAGCCAAAGGGGAAGACGUCGGCGUACGCCUUCUUCGUCCAGACGUGUCGGGAGGAGCAUCGUAAGAAGCACCCAGAGCAGUCGGUCAACUUCGCCGAGUUCUCCAAGAAGUGCUCCGAGAGGUGGAAGGGUCUGACGGCCAACGAUAAGAAGUGUUUCGAGGACAUGGCGAAGGCGGACAAGGUACGCUACAACCGUGAGAUGAGCGACUACAUCCCCCCCAAAGGCUUCGGCAAGAGGGGCCGCAAGAGGAAAGAUCCCAACGCCCCCAAGAGACCCCCCUCUGCGUUCUUUGUGUUCUGCAGUGAGUACCGGCCCAGUGUGAAGCAGCAGUUCCCGGGUCUCUCUAUAGGAGACUGUGCCAAGAAGCUGGGGGAAAUGUGGAGCAAGCAGAGCCAGUCUGAGAAGCUGCCUUACGAGGAGAAGGCCCAGAAACUGAGAGAGAAAUACGACCGGGUGAGACAACCUGCAGAGAGACAGAGUGAGACAGCGAGAGAGAGACAGAUAGAGCCAGUCUGAGAAGCUGCCUUACGAGGAGAAGGCCCAGAAACUGAGAGAGAAAUACGACCGGGACAUGGUGGCGUACCGUGGCGGUGGCACUACGUACGCCAGGACCCCUGGAUCCUCAACCCAGGCGGGGGGGGAGGACGAUGACGACGAGGGGGAGGAUGACGACGAUGACGACGAAGAGGACGAGUAGACAGAUAGAGUGAGACUUGUAGGUGUGUGUGUUUCAGAGCAGACAGACAGGUGAACACAUAUCCUGCCUCCUGUGGCUCCGCCUCUUCUGAGACAGACAGACAGGUGGCUGACUUUAAUCACGCUGACAUAUUAAUACUUCAGUCAUCAUUAUAAUGGGUAUAACAGACAGACAGGUUACAGACAGACAGCAACUCUGAAACACACACACUGGACCUCUGUGUGUGUGUGUGUGUGUGUGUGUGUGUGAGGUCGUCAGAUGUUAAACUGCCCCCCCUCACAGUCACCAUGGUUACCCCCCCUCUUCUUCAUGUUUUUUUAUUUCCUGUUCACUGUCAGUAGAAACUCAACUUUUAUAAUAAAACGGCCGAGGGAAAACACA